UAGGGAAUAUUGGACAAUGGGGGGAACCCUGAUCCAGCCAUGCCGCGUGGAGGAAGACUGCCCUCUGGGUUGUAAACUCCUUUUAUAUGGGAAGAACCGUCCUCAUUGAUGAGUGACCUGACGGUACCAUAGGAAUAAGCACCGGCUAACUCCGUGCCAGCAGCCGCGGUAAUACGGAGGGUGCAAGCGUUAUCCGGAUUCACUGGGUUUAAAGGGUGCGUAGGCGGAUAUGUAAGUCAGUGGUGAAAUCAACGGGCUCAACCUGUUAACUGCCAUUGAUACUGUGUAUCUUGAAUAUGAGAGAGGUAGGCGGAAUGUUGCAUGUAGCGGUGAAAUGCUUAGAUAUUCUACGGAACACCGAUUGCGAAGGCAGCUUACUAUUUCGUAAUUGACGCUGAGGCACGAAAGCGUGGGUAGCGAACA
RNAcentral lists this ribosomal RNA (423 nucleotides) under uncultured bacterium. RNAcentral's name for it is "bacterial SSU rRNA". It matches the Rfam family "Bacterial small subunit ribosomal RNA", at positions 355 to 774 of the family's 1533-position model. The record is from RNAcentral.